This 669-nucleotide long non-coding RNA is filed under the name Homo sapiens (human). Its description in RNAcentral is "LHRI_LNC967.1". Lineage: Eukaryota; Metazoa; Chordata; Mammalia; Primates; Hominidae. The record is from RNAcentral.
AGGAAUCUCCUAUUUUGGUUCUGAAAUAGUUAACGUUCCUUUUAAGUAGUCUCAUUUAUACCUUGAGAGUGAUUUAAUUACCCACAGCAUCUGUUUAACAUUGUACUCACAGAGAAAUCACAGAAACGUAUGCAACAUUGGUUGUUCCUAAGUAGAUUCAAUGUUCUCUAAGGUCUCAUUAACCUGUAAGUUCUCACAUGUUUGUUACAUCUGAGCUAAUGAAGAAAUAGCCAGGGGUAAGGAACUGAGAAAGAGACUAUGGCUGUCUCAACACAAACCCAUUCCAGGACUGUAAAAAAUAUCUGACAAGUCAUAUCUUCCCAGUGUGGUAGUAAAAUCACUGGAGUGUAUUGGAUGGUAUAAGCAACUGAAGAGGAUUAAGAAUGGCCUCUGUGGCUGGGCACAGAGGUUCACGCUUGUAAUCUCAGAACAUUGGGAGGCUUAGGUGGGAGAAUCACUUGAACUCAGGAGUCUGAGACCAGCUUGGGCAACAUAGGAAGACCCCCACCUCUACAAAAAAAAAUUAAAAAUUAGCUGGGUCUCGUGGUGCACGUCUGUGGUCCCAGCUACUCAAGAGGCUGAGGUGGGAGGAUUGCUUGGGCCCAGGAGGUUGAGGCUGCAGUGAGCCAAGAUCACACCACUGCACUCAAGCCUAGGUGAUGGAGCAAU